UACGUAGGGUGCAAGCGUUAAUCGGAAUUACUGGGCGUAAAGCGUGCGCAGGCGGUUAUGUAAGACAGUUGUGAAAUCCCCGGGCUCAACCUGGGAACUGCAUCUGUGACUGCAUAGCUAGAGUACGGUAGAGGGGGAUGGAAUUCCGCGUGUAGCAGUGAAAUGCGUAGAUAUGCGGAGGAACACCGAUGGCGAAGACAAUCCCCUGGACCUGUACUGACGCUCAUGCACGAAAGCGUGGGGAGCAAACAGG
RNAcentral lists this ribosomal RNA (253 nucleotides) under uncultured bacterium. RNAcentral's name for it is "partial 16S ribosomal RNA". It matches the Rfam family "Bacterial small subunit ribosomal RNA", at positions 524 to 776 of the family's 1533-position model. The record is from RNAcentral.